AUUUUAUGAUAUGGGCACUUCUGUAAUAAUUCUUUGUACCUUUCCCAUGCCUCAUACAAUGGCUCAUCAUCCAUAUGUUGAAAAUCAGUGAUCUCGUUCCUCAACUU
Molecule: small nucleolar RNA, 107 nt
Filed under: Gossypium hirsutum (cotton)
Lineage: Eukaryota; Viridiplantae; Streptophyta; Magnoliopsida; Malvales; Malvaceae
Description: Plant small nucleolar RNA R71
Rfam family: Plant small nucleolar RNA R71
About the family: R71 is a member of the C/D box family of snoRNAs containing the C (UGAUGA) and D (CUGA) box motifs. Multiple nearly identical copies of this snoRNA have been identified in Arabidopsis, and it is thought to function as a 2'-O-ribose methylation guide for 18S ribosomal RNA.
Source: Rfam by way of RNAcentral